UACGUAGGGUGCAAACGUUGUUCGGAAUUACUGGGCGUAAAGCGCGUGUAGGCGGCAGGGUGUGUCGGAUGUGAAAUCCCGUGGCUCAACCACGGAAGUGCACCCGAAACUACCCAGCUCGAGUCUCGGAGAGGAAGGUGGAAUGCUUGGUGUAGAGGUGAAAUUCGUAGAUAUCAAGCGGAACACCGGUGGCGAAGGCGGCCUUCUGGACGAUGACUAACGCUGAGACGCGAAAGCGUGGGGAGCAAACAGG
This 253-nucleotide ribosomal RNA is filed under the name uncultured bacterium. RNAcentral's name for it is "partial 16S ribosomal RNA". It matches the Rfam family "Bacterial small subunit ribosomal RNA", at positions 524 to 776 of the family's 1533-position model. The record is from RNAcentral.